UACAGAGGGUGCGAGCGUUGUCCGGAAUCACUGGGCGUAAAGGGCGCGUAGGCGGCUUGAUAAGGUUGCGGUGAAAGCCCGGGGCUCAACCCCGGGUCGGCCGUGGCAACUGUCGAGCUGGAGCACUGUAGAGGCAGGUGGAAUUCCGGGUGUAGCGGUGGAAUGCGUAGAGAUCCGGAAGAACACCGGUGGCGAAGGCGGCCUGCUGGGCAGUAGCUGACACUGGGGCGCGACAGCGUGGGGAGCAAACAGG
Molecule: ribosomal RNA, 253 nt
Filed under: uncultured bacterium
Lineage: Bacteria
Description: partial 16S ribosomal RNA
Rfam family: Bacterial small subunit ribosomal RNA
Source: RNAcentral